RNAcentral lists this ribosomal RNA (440 nucleotides) under uncultured bacterium. RNAcentral's name for it is "partial 16S ribosomal RNA". It matches the Rfam family "Bacterial small subunit ribosomal RNA", at positions 338 to 795 of the family's 1533-position model. The record is from RNAcentral.
CCUACGGGUGGCAGCAGUGGGGAAUAUUGCACAAUGGGGGAAACCCUGAUGCAGCGACGCCGCGUGAGCGAUGAAGUAUUUCGGUAUGUAAAGCUCUAUCAGCAGGGAAGAAAAUGACGGUACCUGACUAAGAAGCACCGGCUAACUACGUGCCAGCUGCCGCGGUAAUACGUAGGGGGCGAGCGUUAUCCGGAUUCACUGGGUGUAAAGGGAGCGUAGACGGCCAUGCAAGCCAGGGGGGAAAGCCCGGGGCCCAACCCCGGGACUGCCGUUGGAACUGCAUGGCUGGAGUGCGGGAGGGGCAGGCGGAAUGCCUGGUGUAGCGGUGAAAUGCGUAGAUAUCAGGAGGAACACCGGCGGCGAAGGCGGCCUGCUGGACCGCGACUGACGUUGAGGCUCGAAAGCGUGGGGAGCGAACAGGAUUAGAUACCCCUGUAGUC